UACGUAGGUGGCAAGCGUUGUCCGGAUUUACUGGGCGUAAAGAGCGCGCAGGCGGUCCGAUCAGUCGAAUGUGAAAGCCCCCCGGCUCAACUGGGGAGGGUCACGCGAUACUGAUCGACUCGAAGGCAGGAGAGGGUAGUGGAAUUCCCGGUGUAGUGGUGAAAUGCGUAGAUAUCGGGAGGAACACCAGUGGCGAAGGCGACUACCUGGCCUGUUCUUGACGCUGAGGCGCGAAAGCUAGGGGAGCAAACGGG
RNAcentral lists this ribosomal RNA (254 nucleotides) under uncultured bacterium. RNAcentral's name for it is "partial 16S ribosomal RNA". It matches the Rfam family "Bacterial small subunit ribosomal RNA", at positions 524 to 776 of the family's 1533-position model. The record is from RNAcentral.